This is an RNA transcript of Lycium barbarum (goji berry), 1153 nucleotides long. RefSeq lists it as uncharacterized. The record is from RefSeq and is a predicted model, not a curated record. The transcript has 4 exons. NCBI's taxonomy places the organism in Eukaryota, Viridiplantae, Streptophyta, Magnoliopsida, Solanales, Solanaceae.
UAAGUGAAGCUAUUCAAGUAGUGAAAUCGUACAGAUCCAAAAAGAAAACAAAAUAGAUUAGUCAAAGCAAAAAUCUAUAUGCAAUAUAGUCCAUCCUUUCAUUGAGUAAUUCAACAAUUCUCCAGAACAAAACAUCAAACCUACUUAUCGUGAAAGUAAAUUUUCCAAGGAUGUUGACAUAAUUUUCGUUGGGAUAAAUGUGUGAUAAUGAAAGUAUUGGCAGCAGCAAGAACACUUUCACGUUGAGGUAAUUGCUCAACACUUUCACGUGCUACAUGGGAAAAAUAUAUUCAAAUAACGACAGGAAGGUUUUUCCACGUCGGUAACAUGAUUCUAACGUUAGUUUCCUCUCCUCUGGAUGAUAGUAAAUUGGAGUUUUUUUUGAAAAGUGACGUAAGGUGGAAGAAGAUCAUUUCUUCGAACACAAGAUUGGUGAAACCCAAUACCUACGUUAUGGUUAACUUGAGAAGCGACAAGCCCCAGAUUGUUUGGCAGGUUAAGUAUAUAGCUAGGAUGCUCCGACGUCUGCUGGGAUUGGCAAGUUCCACCUCAUUCUGGAGUUGUGCUGAGUCAUGUAUAGAUAUGUAUGAUUAUGGGUAUGUCAGGGCCCUGUCCUGACUCAUAAUGUCCAGUUCACUUCUUAGAGACUUCUGCAGACAGUGUGUUGUGGUAUGUUUGUCGAGAUGUCGACAAAGUGAUAUCAUGUGAAAUAUUCAGAUCCGCGGGAAUAUUAUUGCGGUUUACGUCGAGAAUGGUCACAUCGGCUUGCCGAAUCAGAACGUCUUGUUCGUGACUUGGAAAAUCUCAACGCUCCAAUCCCAACAAGGUACUCCUUAACCAUGCCUCAAGUAGGUCCAGAAAGUUGCGAGCUUUUCGUGCAAAGGAUUAGAAAGGAAAACAACAGAAUGCUGGCAAGACGUUGUAGAUUUUACAUGCUAAAGUUGGCCGAAGAACAAGCAUCAUCAACUGGUAGAGAACUAACUGCUACUGAAAAAAGAUGUGUCUUAAGAAACCGCCAAUGUUUUUCUGAAGACGAUAUUGUGCACUUGUACUCUGAUGAUGAUUACGAAUGUUGUGAUUUUAGUUUUAAGUAUGAUUGUAUGAUUAUGCUGUUAUUUUGAAGAAUAUUAGUAUGUUAUGUAUUUCAUCUAUU